CGCAGGGCCAGCCUGACAGGCAGGUGCCGGGAGGAGGCAUGUCCGAGGGGGUGACACGGGAGGGACCACAGCUCCUGCGGCUCAGCCCCGGCCAGCUCUGUCACUCUGGGUCUCUGUCACCUCAGGCCAAUAAUGGUUUCUGAGCUCUGUCCUGUCUAGAUCAGGGUUUGAGGGAGGAUGGGAGCCCCGAGGCCUCAGUCCAGGCACAGGAACACAAAGGCUGCAGCGGGGAGGUGCAUAGCCAGGGUCACUGCGAGGCUGGGCUGUGACACAGAGGCCUGACACACAGGCUCCGGUCUGGACGGGGAAAGGAGUGACUCAGAGGCAUAGGGUCUGAGGGGGAGGCCGGGCCCGGGCCCUCUCCUGGGGUCCCACAGGAGGCUCCACAGGCUGAGCCCACGCACACAGCUCGCCUGCCUGGAGUAGCAGUGGGGGAGCUGAGAGCACUGGGGCGCUCCCCCGCCCAGCUGCCUGUGCCCCAGGAAGCCGUGUCUCUCCUAGACCACGCCUGCCCCUCCUGCUCAGCCCGCCCCUGUCCUUGGUCCCCUCAAGCCCCUGGGUGCCUCCUGCAGCUUCCUCUCCUCCCUGGGUCACCAGGUACCACAUGCAGCUCUCCACAGGACUUGUUUAGGACUCCCCGCACGUCCUCCCUCCUCCAUCACCUCUGGCCGGGUGACCACACAGAGAAAGGGGGCAUUCACCAGCAGCGGGAGCCAUGGCCCGUGAGGAGAGUCUUACCCAAGAAGUGGACGGAAUGGAGGUGGCAUGCAUGGCCAUUAUUCAUGAUGACACAUGCAGUAAUGGAGGCAGCACGGGACGUUGUGUAUCCCAGGGAAACACUGCAGCCUGGCUGAUGUGUGUGUAUGGGGCAGGCAAAGGAGCGGUCUCUGGUUAAACGAUAACUGGAUGGGGUUUUGUAGGAUGCAUAGAAGUUCUCUAAUGAAGACGAGGCCAGGAAUAACAUUCUGAGCAUUGAGAGUGGGAUAUGCGGUCCUGAGGUCUUGUCAUUGGCAAUACUUAAGCUCCUCCUGCGUGCCAGGCCUGCCGUAAGUGCUGGGGACGGAGGAGGCAGGUGAGGUCCUACUCCACGAUACUGUCAUAGGUGGGUGGAGGCACGUGUCAAUAGGGCUCCAGGUGUGGUGAGCACCCUGGAGGAAAGAUGCAGGAGAAGAGGGGGUGUGGGGAGUGGCUGCUGAUUGGACCUGGAUUUGGAGGCUGAGGCAGGAAUGUGGCUGGAUUUCAGGCUGGGAUUCCUGGGGCAGCAGGAGAGCCCUCACGGUGUGGCCCGCCUGGGCGGCCCAGCGGCAACAGUGACGAGUGACCUAGAGACAGCCACAGGGGCCGCCCAACCAAGCCUCAGGUCCCGAGCUGCCGGCAGCUUGGGGCGCCCCUGCUGCAGCGGG
Molecule: long non-coding RNA, 1403 nt
Filed under: Heterocephalus glaber (naked mole-rat)
Lineage: Eukaryota; Metazoa; Chordata; Mammalia; Rodentia; Bathyergidae
Description: lncRNA (ENSHGLG00000041286.1)
Source: RNAcentral